AAUCCAGACUCCUACGGGAGGCAGCAGUGGGGAAUAUUGCACAAUGGGGGAAACCCUGAUGCAGCGACGCCGCGUGAGUGAAGAAGUAUUUCGGUAUGUAAAGCUCUAUCAGCAGGGAAGAAAAUGACGGUACCUGAUUAAGAGGCCCCGGCUAACUACGUGCCAGCAGCCGCGGUAAUACGUAGGGGGCAAGCGUUAUCCGGAUUUACUGGGUGUAAAGGGAGCGUAGACGGCAGCGCAAGUCUGAAGUGAAAUGCCGGGGCUUAACCCCGGAACUGCUUUGGAAACUGUGCAGCUAGAGUGCAGGAGAGGUAAGUGGAAUUCCUAGUGUAGCGGUGAAAUGCGUAGAUAUAUGGAAGAACACCAGUGGCGAAAGCGGCUCUCUGGUCUGUAACUGACGCUGAGGUUCGAAAGCGUGGGUAGCAAACAGGAUUAGAUACCCCGGUAGUU
This 450-nucleotide ribosomal RNA is filed under the name uncultured bacterium. RNAcentral's name for it is "bacterial SSU rRNA". It matches the Rfam family "Bacterial small subunit ribosomal RNA", at positions 328 to 795 of the family's 1533-position model. The record is from RNAcentral.